Chenopodium quinoa (quinoa) is the source of this 3351-nucleotide long non-coding RNA. RefSeq lists it as uncharacterized. Lineage: Eukaryota; Viridiplantae; Streptophyta; Magnoliopsida; Caryophyllales; Amaranthaceae. The record is from RefSeq and is a predicted model, not a curated record. The transcript has 4 exons.
GCCCCCUACCUGGUAUGGGCGGCCCUUGCCCAAUACCAGAAUAUAAUAAUAAUUUCUCCAAAAAAAAUAAAUAGAAAUGAAAUAAGGGUAGGGUAAAAAAAGAGGAGAGAGAAAUUUCCUCCUUGUUUUAUCAAUUACGCGCGAAAUGUUUCCCGGCGUCGUAGAGAGAAAUUUCCUAAAAGAUCUACAAGAAUUUCCUACAAGAUCUACAGAAAUUUCCGGUAAAAUUCCCGCUAGAGAAGGCCGUUUAUUGAAAUGGAGGAUCUAGUAAAGUAAUCGAACUAGUGAAAUUGUUGUUGGAAAAUUAGGGUUUAAUAAAAUAAUGAAUCUGUUGUUUUGGUGUGUGCUGUCGGAAGAAUUGCCAAUGGAAGUCGGUGUAAACUGUGAAGUAGAGCCCUUGGACCAUGAUGUUGAAGUAUGCGAGUGGGAUCUAGAACAAGUUGAGGAUGCUAUCAUAAUGAACACUCCAGUGAAGGAUGUAUUAGGGUGUUCAGUAGAUGCAGCAACCCCGGUACGGUGUGUUGUUGAGAGUGAAGAAGGCAGUAUGAAGAUUUACUGAACCACCCUAAAGUGGGUAUGGUGUUUAGGAGUUGGGAGUGUGCUGAUCAAUUUUUCAUAAAAUAUGGGAAGCAGAGAGGAUUUGGAGUUUUCUGUGCGGCUAGUAAUUUCAAGAUAGAGCACGGUAAAACUGACAAGAGUUAGAGGAGGAGCUACAUUUGGCGGUGUGAAUGUGUUGGUAAGCCAUACUUAAGGAGAAGAGUAAAUGGGAAAAGGGUGUAUGGUGGUGGUUUGGCUUUGGACUUAAAUCAGAGGAAGACUAAGAAGUGUGGGUGUCCAGUGGAAAUGAGGGCAUUUUGUAAACCUGAUGAUUCGUGGGAAGUGCAAAAGGCAAUCAUAGAACAUGAAUUUCACAAUCCAACUCCCCGAAAGUCACGACAUAUUUCCAUGUAUCGGCAGGAUGAAAUCACUACUGCGGUUAGGAGGAAGUUAUUCAAUGACUGCAGUGCUGGUAGUCAGGUGACACAAGUGCAUCGUAGUUUAGCCAAAGAGCGCGGUAGGGUAGAGAAUACGACUAAAAUUACAUAGAGGGAUUUGAGGAAUGUAUUGGCUAGGCAAAAGAAGUUCAAUAUGAGCGGGGGUGAUGCUAAUGCAAUGCUUGCGUAUUUUGAUAAGAUGAGUUCAGACAACCAGAAUUUUUUUCACAAGUAUAGGUUAGAUGAUGAGGGUAGGCUAACUAAUGUCAUGUGGGUUGAUGCACGUUGCCUAUCAGGAGUUCGGGGAUGUAGUAUGUUUUGACUCUACCUAUGUUACUAAUGAGUAUGAGCUCCCGUUUGCCAACAUCGUCAGUGUGAAUCACCAUGGCCAGACUAUACUUUUGGGCUGUGCUUUAGUGUCCCAUGAAAACACUCAAACUUUUGUGUGGCUGUUUUCGAACUGGCUAGACUGUAUAGGAGGUAAAGUCCCAAGGGGGAUUUUGACAGACCAGUGUGUUGCAAUGAGGAAAGCUUUGAGUAUUGUGAUGCCCACUGCCAAGCAUAGGUGGUGCUUAUGGCAUAUUGUGAAUAAGUUUGGUACCAAGCUGGGAAUGUAUGCGAACUACCAGGAAUUUCACGACGUGCUACUUAAUGUUAUAUAUGACAGCUUAAGUGAAGAUGAGUUCGAGGUAAACUGGAGUGUUGCAAUGGAGUCAUAUGCACUUGGAUCAGAUGAAUGGCUUUCAGGAUUGUUCGAGGAGAGACAUAUGUGGAUCCCGGCCUAUAUGAAACACCUUUUUGGGCGGGCAUGAAAACUACAUAGCGUUCAGAGAGCAUUAACAGCUUCUUUGACAAGUAUGUCUAGCGGGACACUCGCCUGUACUAGUUUGCAGAGAGGUAUUGUGAUGCCAUGGAGAAUAGGGCAAAUGUAGAGAAAUAAGCUGAUGCCAACAGUGCAAUGAGAAUGAGGCAUCUGAUAACCGGGUUUUCUUUACGAGAAAAACUUCCAGAAAGUUUACACCGAUGCUAAGUUUGUAGAGGUGCAGGACCAAUGCACCAGGCUUAUGUACUUGAGUGUCGUUGGGAAACAAGAGAUAUCCAACAAUGUUGUGGAACAUUUGGUUCAAGAUGUAUGGUUGUAUGAUAAACAACUAACGAAGGAGAUUCCUCUUGAAAGGAAGAGAAUUUACACUGUAAUGAUAAACUCUGAAACAAAUGAUAUGUCAUGUGAAUGCAAGCUUUUUGAUUGUCAUGGAAUAAUGUGUUGCCAUCAGUUAAAGGUGUAUGAUUUAAAUGGCAUUACUGCAGUCCCUUCUAAGUAUAUAUUGAGGUGUUGGCAUAAAGAUAUCCAUAGGCGUCACACACGGGUUAAGGUCACAUAUAUACCAUGAUCCUAUCAAAACUGCAGAAGUGAAGAGGUAUAAUAGGAUAAUGGUCCGAUUUGAGAGCGUGUGUCUGAAGGCAGCCACCCGUCCAGAGUAUGUGAAAAUGGUGUUUGAUGCCAUAUGCCAGUUGGAAUACUUAUGUACUGGAGGUCUGCAAUCAUCUCCUUCAGUGAAUGAUAAUGUGAAUGAUGUGGAUGAUAAUUUUGGUAGCUCCAGCGUGCCUUCUCAUGUUAAUGAGUCUCUUGGGAACACAUCUGCUUUGGGGCUUGAAGAUAUAUCCCUUGAUCCAGUCAACACUCCAACUCUUAACACACGUGUUUCAAAUGAAGAAGUUUGUCCUCAGGGGGUGAGUUUAGGGAAUGAGAAGCAGCCUUCUGAUGUGUUGGCACCCAAAGCAUUGUCUGUCGGGGAUCUAAUUUCGAGGAAAAAACCAUAUAGACCAAGGGCAAAGCGAUUCCUAUCAUUUGUGGAGAAGUGUGCUAAGAAAGCAGCAUCGGAACUAAAGUAAAAGCAAAGCACGGACCAGAGUGGGUUGAAUGAUGCUGUAAUGGAACCUAACAAGCCCCCCAAGCCAAACAGAAAAAGAGGAAGGAAAUCAAUAAAAUAGCAACAAGCGGCUAAUGUUAUUCCUAUAAGUGAAUAUGAUGGAUUGAAAUGUAAUGCAUGAAUGGUUUGUUGUUGGUAUAAAAAAUAAUCUUGUUUCAAAUAACAAGGACCAACUCAGGUGGUGGAUCAAGGACCAAUAUCUGCGAUUUGGCUUGGCGGAAUAGGGUGUGGACCUGUAUAUGGUGAAGUAGGCUACUUUACUAGGUCCAUUCAAUCCUGUCCUCUGUGGGUUGCCCGCGAUGUGCUCCCAUUUAUUUCUACUACCAUUAUGAGUGCACCAUCCUACAAUAAUAUAUCGGGUUAUUAACAUCUUAGUAGUGAUAUAUCUCUUUUGUAUUAUCAGCGCAUGAACAAUCAGUGCAGUCAUUGGGAUAUUGCGUUUUGUA